Molecule: ribosomal RNA, 253 nt
Filed under: uncultured bacterium
Lineage: Bacteria
Description: partial 16S ribosomal RNA
Rfam family: Bacterial small subunit ribosomal RNA
Source: RNAcentral
UACAGAGGGUGCGAGCGUUAAUCGGAUUUACUGGGCGUAAAGGGCGCGUAGGCGGUUGUUUAAGUUGGAUGUGAAAUCCCCGGGCUUAACCUGGGAACUGCAUCUGAUACUGGACGGCUAGAGUACUGUAGAGGGCAGUGGAAUUUCCGGUGUAGCGGUGAAAUGCGUAGAGAUCGGAAGGAACACCAGUGGCGAAGGCGGCUGCCUGGACAGAUACUGACGCUGAGGCGCGAAAGCGUGGGGAGCAAACAGG